UUGUACCUAUAAUCCAGGACCAUCUCAAAGAUGUCCAUGAGCUGAAUGAGUCCCAGGAUUCUCUUGAGAGUGAGUUGAAGGGCCUGCAAGAACAGCUGUCCCAGUCCAUGACUACAAUUCAGGACCUUCUCAAAGAUAUCCUUGAAAUGAAAGAGUACCAAAAUGAGUUGAAGAACCUGCAGGAGCAAAUUUCACAGGACCAUCUCAAAUAUAUCCUUGAGCUGAAGGAGUCCCAGGAAGCCCUUCAGAGUGAGCUGAAGGUCAUGCAAGAGCAGCUGUCCCAGUUCAUAGCUCAGACCCAGGACCAGAACAAUGAAAUCAUUGAACUAAAGGAGUACCGGGACGCCCUUCAGAAUGAGAUAAAGGGGCUGAAGGAGAAGUUGUCCCAGCUGGACAAGCAUAGCUCGGUGCUGUCACGAAGCCUAUUGGGGAAAGUGCCCGGGCAGGCAGUCAGCCGGAUGCAGCAGGUGGCCGUCUGUCCUCCAUCCUCUGUGGACAUCAAUACGACACUUAGCCAGCAGUACCAGCACCACAAGGAGCUCCAGGGGCUGGUCAGCAGCCCACUGACAAUGGAGGGAAAUGGCAGGACAGUGGAUGGCUCAGAAAUGCAGAGCCUGCCAGGGGAGGACGAUUUUGAGCUGGAGCCAGGGCAGAGACUCGGCUACAUGUGGGAGGAGUCCAUGUUCCCCCCUUCCCCUGGGGACAUCAGCAGGAGGGUUAGCCAGGAGUUCCAGCACCAUGAUCAGCUCCGGGAUCUGAUGAUGGAAGGUGAUGGCAGGACAGUGGAGGGCUCAGAAAUGCAGAGCCUGUCAGGGGAGGUUGAUCUGGAGCUAGAGCCAGGACAGAGGGUCAGCUGGAUGCAACAAGAGGGCAUCGCCCCACCUUUUUCUGUGGACAUGAGAAGCAGAGUUAGCCAUCAGUUCCAGCGCCACGAGCAGGUCCACGGUGUGGUCAGUGGCUUUGUGAUGAAAGAUGGCAGUGGCUCACAGAUGCAGGCCCAGGAACUGCUUAACAAGUACCCUACACAAACAAGCAUUUUGGAGCUCCAGAAACAAUGUGAGAAGCUUGGUGGCACCACUGUCCAGCUUAUGGAGGGCCAAAGCCAGCAGCAGAAGCAAAUUGAUAUGAACCGCAAAGAGUCAGAAUUGAUGAAGAAAAAGCUGCAACAUUGCUGGGAGGUCAUCUGUAAGGUGGUGCAGGCUCAGGCCGACUCAGAGGUGGAAAAUGCCGCUGUCAUCAGGAAGCAGAUCCCAACUCAUUAUCACUGCUUAUCUUGCAACCGUCGCCUUGAUUCGAUGGUCCCUGCACCGAAACCGACUUUGUCCGGAGCAACCAGUCUGCCGUCACAAAAGCCCUUCCCUCUGAGGAAGGUGGAAGAGAUCCAACCGCAUUCCCAGAGACAGGCAGAGGGUGUGCAGAGCCAGGUAAAUGGCCAAGAUCAGCCUGUGGAGCAGGGCUACAGAAAGCAGAUGCAAUCCCGCUUCCCACCCAUCCAAGGCACUACAUAUGGGACCGGAAUGACUGUUUUCCAGCAUGAACAAACUCAAGAGAUUUCAGUGUCCCAGAGCUAUGGUGGCAGCCAGGCUUUGACCUACUUAAAACAGCGCUAUACACCCUUGCAGCGAGUCUCAGGCCUGGAUAAGGAGAAGGUGGACAUCCUAGGAAAUGAUGGGCACCUCUACAAAGGCUGUGCUAGCACCAGAGGCAUGGAGCACAGGUCUCCCUUCAUCUCCAAAGAGGCGCUUAGCCAAUAUGCAGGACUGGAGAUAAAGGACCUCACUGGAAACUGGAUCCCCAAAAAUAUGUCUCUGAUGAGUUCCAUGACGGUGGUGCAUGAGCUGUAACCCAGCAUUUCAUCAUGGACUGUCACCAUUUAAUUCUCUGAUGACCCUGGAAGCACUUUUGCAUUACAAGUUGCCUUGGACAACAUGGUAAGAUACUUGUGUAAAACAUGGUACAAUCCAUAAAUUCUAAAACUGGCCCGUGUUUUACCUUGCUAAACAAAGAUCUCUUUGGCCACAGCUGUACAUACGUGGGCCAUGAGUCCCUGAAGAUCUUGGUGUGUGAGCAAGUUUGCACAGUUGUUGUCUGAAGGAACUGCACACAGGGUGAUCGGUUGCAAUAUCCUGAUAAACUGCUAAACAGCUGAUGAUGUAGAUUUUCAUAGCCAGCCCAGCUUUUUUCCCAAAUGAUUAUUUCCAGCGGUCUAACGUGCCAUGUUACAAAGCAAACAUCACCUCAGAGUGGUUCUUCAAACAUGACGGCACCUUAUUUUGACGGGCACUGUUUCUAUCUGGGGGGUGUGGUGGCACAGUGGGUUGGACCGGGUCCUGCUCUCCAGUGGG
Molecule: long non-coding RNA, 2345 nt
Organism: Scleropages formosus (Asian bonytongue)
Lineage: Eukaryota; Metazoa; Chordata; Actinopteri; Osteoglossiformes; Osteoglossidae
Source: Ensembl